UACGUAGGUGGCAAGCGUUGUCCGGAUUUAUUGGGCGUAAAGAGCUCGUAGGCGGCUUGGCAAGUCGGGUGUGAAACCUCCAGGCUCAACCUGGAGACGCCACUCGAUACUGCUAUGGCUAGAGUCCGGUAGGGGACCACGGAAUUCCUGGUGUAGCGGUGAAAUGCGCAGAUAUCAGGAGGAACACCGGUGGCGAAGGCGGUGGUCUGGGCCGGCACUGACGCUGAGGAGCGAAAGCGUGGGUAGCAAACAGG
RNAcentral lists this ribosomal RNA (254 nucleotides) under uncultured bacterium. RNAcentral describes it as "partial 16S ribosomal RNA". It matches the Rfam family "Bacterial small subunit ribosomal RNA", at positions 524 to 776 of the family's 1533-position model. The record is from RNAcentral.